This 324-nucleotide long non-coding RNA is filed under the name Physcomitrium patens. Its description in RNAcentral is "long non-coding RNA (PPAT_LNC000767)". Lineage: Eukaryota; Viridiplantae; Streptophyta; Bryopsida; Funariales; Funariaceae. The record is from RNAcentral.
GAUAAGUCUCUAGAUGUUACAGAGAACCUCGAACAACCCAAUCUGCUAAUCUUCGAUACCGCUUUAUAUUCACGACCUUGUAUCCAUUGACUAUCUUGUUAGAUUAACCCAAAAACUUUUAUUCACUCUGCAUACUCAAUCCUAUAGACACCCUUUUAAUUCUUCAACCACAGACAUAACUUCGAUUUCACAAAACAGUCAAGAGUAUUCACACCCACUUCAUUAAAAUCCCGAUUCACCAGUACAACACUGACUUCAGCAACGAUUGUCUCAGUCUUCUCAAAACCCUAUGAAGAAAAAAAAAAUCCCAAUUUUCUGUCUUUU